GUGUGUGUGUGUGUGUGUGUGCAGCAGCCGGAGGGACAGCUGGGCCACGGGUCAGGUUGAUUUUGGCUUUGUGGUUCUGAUGUGUUGUAUGUUGUGAAGGUGGUGGCGUGUUUUCUGUGGACUGAGAAUGACUGGCAGAGGAAAGACGAAUCCUGUCCAUUUAAUGAGGCCCACCAGUCCAGCGGGAGCACGAGCACGCUCACGCUCACGUAUGCUAAAAGCUGAAGAAGGCAGACAGAGGUAACACUUUUCCACAGCAAUGAACACAUGCAAGAAAGUUGAAGGCCAUGUGGUUUUCACUUGGAAUUAGAGACUUAAAUUGCUGUCUAGUGAGUCUGCCAGAAGCUACAUGAGGAUGGUUAAAUGCAGCUUGUAGCCGAUCUGUGCGAAGCCUGACCCAGAGCAAGGCUAAGUUUGUUGUUGACUGAAGUCAGUCUGCUCCGAACAGGGGUGGACUGUUGCUUUGCCAAAGGCUGAGGGUUUUGUAGCCAAAGGCAAUGACCAUCCUUUGCCCUGGGCAAUGAUAUGAGCGAGGGCAGAAAACAUAGCUGCUUCUACAGAACUGCUUACGAAGCAU
Long non-coding RNA from Carassius carassius (crucian carp), 577 nucleotides. RefSeq lists it as uncharacterized. The transcript has 3 exons. NCBI's taxonomy places the organism in Eukaryota, Metazoa, Chordata, Actinopteri, Cypriniformes, Cyprinidae. The record is from RefSeq and is a predicted model, not a curated record.